RNAcentral lists this ribosomal RNA (411 nucleotides) under uncultured Fidelibacterota bacterium. RNAcentral's name for it is "bacterial SSU rRNA". It matches the Rfam family "Bacterial small subunit ribosomal RNA", at positions 35 to 436 of the family's 1533-position model. The record is from RNAcentral. Lineage: Bacteria; Pseudomonadati; Fidelibacterota.
GCUGGCGGCGUGCUUAAUACAUGCAAGUCAAGGAGAACAUUUCCUUCGGGAAAUUAUUAAACUGGCGAACGGGUGAGUAACGCGUAGGUAACCUGCCCUAGAGAUUGGGAUAACACCGGGAAACCGGUGCUAAUACCGAAUAAUGCAGCGGAUCCUUCGGGAUACAGUUGUUAAAGCGGGCUUCGGCUCGCACUUUAGGAUGGGCCUGCGUCCGAUUAGCUUGUUGGUAAGGUAACGGCUUACCAAGGCAAUGAUCGGUAGCUGGUCUGAGAGGAUGAUCAGCCACACUGGGAUUGAGAUACGGCCCAGACUCCUACGGGAGGCAGCAGUAGGGAAUUUUGCGCAAUGGGGGAAACCCUGACGCAGCAACGCCGCGUGACCGAUGAAGCUUCUAGGAGCGUAAAGGUCUGU